Ctenocephalides felis (cat flea) is the source of this 335-nucleotide long non-coding RNA. RefSeq lists it as uncharacterized. Lineage: Eukaryota; Metazoa; Arthropoda; Insecta; Siphonaptera; Pulicidae. The record is from RefSeq and is a predicted model, not a curated record. The transcript is spliced from 3 exons.
ACGAUUUAGAUUUGUCUCCUGAAUAUAAAACUUCCAAGAAGUACAUCAUAUAUGAAUAUCCUGUAUCCUCGCAUUUGAUGUAUUGAACUGGCGAUAGAAUGAAAUCAGUCAGUGUUAAAAAUGUAUGUGUAAAAGCGACUUUAAGAUGAUGGAGAUUUGUACACUGAACAUAAAACUUCCAAAAUUUGGGGCAGUAUGUCAUAUGUGCAUAAUCUGUAUCCUGGCAUUUGAUGCAAUGAACUGGCGAUAGAAUGAAAUAAUGAAAAAUAGGCAGGCUGUUUGAUGUAUAAGGAAGUGGCGAUAGAAUACUUAUGCAACACUUCACACUUCACGCC